This 250-nucleotide ribosomal RNA is filed under the name uncultured bacterium. RNAcentral describes it as "partial 16S ribosomal RNA". It matches the Rfam family "Bacterial small subunit ribosomal RNA", at positions 524 to 773 of the family's 1533-position model. The record is from RNAcentral.
UACGAGAGCCUCGAGCGUUAUCCGGAAUUAUUGGGCGUAAAGGGUGCGUAGGUUGUUCUGUUAGUCUUUUGUGAAAGCCCCGAGCUUAACUUGGGAGACGCGGGAGAAACGGCAGAACUAGAAAGUGCGAGAGGCGUACGGAACUCAUGGUGUAGGGGUGAAAUCCGUUGAUAUCAUGGGGAACACCAAAUGCGAAGGCAGUACGCUGGCGCAUAUUUGACACUGAAGCACGAAAGCGUGGGUAGCGAAU